ACGCUCGACACCUACGGGAGGCCGCAGUGGGGAAUAUUGCACAAUGGGGGAAACCCUGAUGCAGCGACGCCGCGUGGAGGAAGAAGGUCUUCGGAUUGUAAACUCCUGUUGUUGGGGAAAAAGAGGAUGGUACCCAACAAGGAAGUGACGGCUAACUACGUGCCANNACGCCGGAGUAUCNGNGGCGGNGNGAGAGC
This 197-nucleotide ribosomal RNA is filed under the name uncultured bacterium. Its description in RNAcentral is "partial 16S ribosomal RNA". It matches the Rfam family "Bacterial small subunit ribosomal RNA", at positions 328 to 535 of the family's 1533-position model. The record is from RNAcentral.